This 71-nucleotide transfer RNA is filed under the name Cotesia glomerata. RNAcentral describes it as "tRNA-Asp". The record is from RNAcentral. Lineage: Eukaryota; Metazoa; Arthropoda; Insecta; Hymenoptera; Braconidae.
CCUCGGAUAGCAUAGCGGGAGAGUCUCUGGCUGUCAACUAAAAGUUCUGGGUUCAAUUCCCGGUCGAAAGU